AACGCGAAGAACCUUACCUGGAUUUGACAUGGAUCGGGAGUGCUCAGAGAUGGGUGUGCCUCUUUUGGGGUCGGCUCACAGGUGGUGCAUGGCUGUCGUCAGCUCGUGUCGUGAGAUGUUGGGUUAAGUCCCGCAACGAGCGCAACCCUUGUUCACUGUUGCCAGCACGUUAUGGUGGGGACUCAGUGGAGACCGCCGGGGUCAACUCGGAGGAAGGUGGGGAUGACGUCAAGUCAUCAUGCCCCUUAUGUCCAGGGCUUCACGCAUGCUACAAUGGCUGGUACAGAGAGUGGCGAGCCUGUGAGGGUGAGCGAAUCUCGGAAAGCCGGUCUCAGUUCGGAUUGGGGUCUGCAACUCGACCUCAUGAAAUCGGAGUCGCUAGUAAUCGCAGAUCAGCAACGCUGCGGUGAAUACGUUCCCGGGCCUUGUACACAC
This 435-nucleotide ribosomal RNA is filed under the name uncultured Propionibacterium sp. RNAcentral's name for it is "bacterial SSU rRNA". It matches the Rfam family "Bacterial small subunit ribosomal RNA", at positions 958 to 1390 of the family's 1533-position model. The record is from RNAcentral. Lineage: Bacteria; Bacillati; Actinomycetota; Actinomycetes; Propionibacteriales; Propionibacteriaceae.